UACGUAGGUGGCGAGCGUUGUCCGGAUUUACUGGGCGUAAAGAGCGCGCAGGCGGUCGUGCAAGUCGCGUGUGGAAGCCCCCGGCUCAACUGGGGAGGGUCACGCGAUACUGUUCGACUCGAAGGCAGGAGAGGGAAGUGGAAUUCCCGGUGUAGUGGUGAAAUGCGUAGAUUAUCGGGAGGAACACCAGUGGCGAAGGCGACUUCCUGGCCUGUUCUUGACGCUGAGGCGCGAAAGCUAGGGUAGCAAACGGG
RNAcentral lists this ribosomal RNA (254 nucleotides) under uncultured bacterium. RNAcentral describes it as "partial 16S ribosomal RNA". It matches the Rfam family "Bacterial small subunit ribosomal RNA", at positions 524 to 776 of the family's 1533-position model. The record is from RNAcentral.